ACAUUGAUAAACCUAAAGGCGCAAUGAAAGUGAAGGUUCGCCUCGCGCGGACCGAGGGAGGAUGGGCCCGUCCACGGGCGGGCCCCGCACUCCCGGGGCGUCUCGUUCUCAUCGCGAGAAGAGGCGCACCCAGAGCGUACACGCUGGGACCCGAAAGAUGGUGAACUAUGCCUGGUCAGGACGAAGUCAGGGGAAACCCUGAUGGAGGUCCGUAGCGAUUCUGACGUGCAAAUCGAUCGUCGGAACUGGGUAUAGGGGCGAAAGACUAAUCGAACCUUCUAGUAGCUGGUUCCUUCCGA
Molecule: ribosomal RNA, 299 nt
Filed under: Digitonthophagus gazella
Lineage: Eukaryota; Metazoa; Arthropoda; Insecta; Coleoptera; Scarabaeidae
Description: partial 28S ribosomal RNA
Rfam family: Eukaryotic large subunit ribosomal RNA
Source: RNAcentral